CAAGGGAGUGUGGGCUAUGUAGAGAUUUAUAGGCUACUAUGAGAAUGUUUACUGCUAUUCAGGAGAUAGGAAGCCAGGUGAGGGCUGUGAGUAGAGGGGUGAUUGACUUCUUUUUCAAGGACUUCUUUUUUAAAUGGCUGCCAUAUUCUGAAAAGACGAAGAGAAGUAAGGACAGAGCCAGUAGAGGCAGUAGGAGCUAAUACAAUAAUCUUUAUUCAUCUCUCAUUCUGUCAAGGAGGAAAAUGUUUGCGAGAAGCUCUCUAACAGGUUCUGUCUCAGGUUCAGUUGGCCAAAAUGGAGUUAUUUGCUUACUCUCAAGCUGCAAACAUGUCUGGGAAAGGAACUUUCUGGCAUUCACAGUGAGUACAGUGGAAGAUAGGCUCUGUUGGUAAGAAAAAUAAAAGAAAUAGCUGUUGUUUACACACUCAAUAAUGCUUUUCAUGGUGGACUAAGAGCAUUAAAAUGGCUUGCAGCUUUUAAGUAAAAUAUUAACUUGAUAAACUUUUAUUUUAGAAUAGUAGCUCUAAAUGCCUAGAAAAAAUGGACCAGGUUAGGGAAAGACUAGAAGCAGGGAAUCUAAUUAGAUGCUGUUUCCAUAAUCCAGAAGAGGAAGAGACACUGGAGCCCUCUCUCUCCUUGAGUGCACAGAAAAUAGACCAUAUGAGCACACAGUGAGAUGGCAGCCAUCUGAAAGCAAAGCAGAGGGUUCUCACUAAGAACGAAGUCUGCUGGCACCUUGAUCUUGGGCUUCCCAGGCUCCAAAACUGUGAAAAAUAAAUGUCUGUUGUUUAAGCCACCUAGUCUAUGAUGUUAUGUUAUAGCAGCUCAAGCUAAUUAAGGCAGGGAGUAAUAAGAAGAAACCAUGUAGAACCAGCAAUGAAGAGCACGUUGAACACUCUUCCACCUCCAGCCCCAGCGCCAUGGAAGGUAACUCGACAUCUUCUAAGAAUAUAGUGACCUCAAAACAUAUAUAAUCAUUUCCAAAAUCUUUCAAAGUUAAUAAUGAAUAACAGCUUGAAAAGUAAAUGCAAGUAAAGUCACUUUUCCUGAAGGAAGAUAAAACCCACCGCAGAUUAUAAAAAAUAAGUCGGAAGAAUUGACAGAAAGCUACAUUGAGUACUAAAGAUUCUAGGCCCAGGAGAUGAAAUUAGUGACAUCUUGAUCAAAGAUACAAAAAGUGAAGACUACACAAAGAGGGUAUUUAGUAUCACGCAGCUGCUUCCUCACUUUCAUCACCUCUGACAGGAUCACUACAUGUAUUAAGAUUUUACCCACAGGGAAACUGAAGAUCAAAGAUAUGAAAGGAAUCACACCGAGUCACGGAGCUGAUAAACAGUAAAAUAUGACCAUAAAUUCAAAUGUCGUAAAACUAAAUUUGUUAUAGUUUCCUUCAAAACCUGCCACUUCCCAUUUUUCCAGAUACUAUACAUAUCAGUAUAAAUAUCUGUCACAUUACAGACUAGAUAAAAUCCAGCAGUUGAAUGAAAGUCACAGCUUACUACAAUCAUAUUAUUCCUUUGAAUUUUAAGAUGAAAUGGAAAAUAUUUUCCCAUGGGAAAAACAAUCUGCAUUAUUCUGAGUUUCUAUCUUCUGUUAGAGAAGCUUAGCCUGAAUUUAAAAGUCAUAGCCCUUUAGCUAAUGUAGUACAUGUGGGGCUUUUGCCAGUUGCUAGGAAUAUAAAAAAUGACGCACCUCCUGCCUUUUUCAAAAGGCUUCAAUGUCAUUGCAUAUUCUUACAAGAAGAGAAUGGAGAAGUGGUUAAGAGUAUUCUAGAACCAGAUUCUCUAGCGCAAAUCCAGUCCUUUCACUUCCUUAGGUUUGUGACCUUGAGCAAAUUACUUCCUCACUCAGUGCCUCCUAUUUUCCUCUGCAAAUAGGGAUAAUAAUAUUAUUUACCUCAGAGUCUGUUGUGAAGAAUAAUUGAGUGUAAGCUCAUUUACAUGAGGUUAGAGCUUUGAAUAAAAUGUACAUUUCGGGCUUCACAACGACCCUAAGAUAUAGGUGUUUUUAAUCCGUAUUUUAGAGAUGAGAUCAUUGAGGCUUAGAAAGUUAAUUAACUUGCCCAAUGUCAAACAGGUGUGUGUGGCAGAGCAGGAAAUGAAAUGCAAGCCUGCUUAUAAAGGCUCUGUUUUAACCAAUAUGUUACAUUUUAACCUGGAACUAGCUGAUGUGUAAAAUAUCAUAUUCCCGGGCUUCCCUGGUGGCGCAGUGGUUGAGAAUCUGACUGCAAAUGCAGGGAACACGGGUUCGAGCCCUAGUCUGGGAAGAUCCCACAUGCCGCGGAGCAACUGGGCCCGUGAGCCGCAAUUACUGAGCCUGCGCGUCUGGAGCCUGUGCUCCGCAACAAGAGAGGCCGUGAUAGUGAGAGGCCCGCGCACCGCGAUGAAGAGUGGCCCCCGCUUGCCACAACUAGAGAAAGCCCUCGCACAGAAACGAAGACCCAACACAGCCAUAAAUAAAUUAAAAAAAAAAAAUCGUAUUCCCUAAAGUAGUGCAAUAUUCAAACAGUUCAGAAAAAUGUAGUUGUAUUAAAUGAGUUUUGUUUUUUAAAAACUAGACAUUCCACUGAUGUUAAAUUUUUUUAAAAAGUUUGUUUUCAAGGGCACCAUAGAGUUUAAAGCUAGGUGGUUUACCAAAGACAACAGAGUAUCGGCAAUGGUUGCCCUCACCAAAUAGUAUUAGUUACAACAGAAAAAUACUUGUUAUAUUUCAGCACCUUUCAUACAUUAUAUCAAGACCUUAUGACAACAAUAUAACAUAAAUACCUAUGUUUGCAGAUGAGAACACUGAGGCUUUUAUAGGUUGAGAAAUGAACUUACAGUUAUCCAGAUAUAAAGUUGGAGACCUGUAAAAUGAAACCAAUUGACUUAGCUCCCAAGCCCAUACCUUUUCUUCUAUGCCUAAGUGCCUGUUUGUUUGUUUUUUUUCCUGUGGGCAUUU
Molecule: long non-coding RNA, 2940 nt
Organism: Balaenoptera ricei (Rice's whale)
Lineage: Eukaryota; Metazoa; Chordata; Mammalia; Artiodactyla; Balaenopteridae
Exons: 5
Source: RefSeq, a predicted model, not a curated record